Molecule: ribosomal RNA, 470 nt
Filed under: uncultured Sphingobacteriales bacterium
Lineage: Bacteria; Pseudomonadati; Bacteroidota; Sphingobacteriia; Sphingobacteriales
Description: bacterial SSU rRNA
Rfam family: Bacterial small subunit ribosomal RNA
Source: RNAcentral
UUGACGGGGGCCCGCACAAGCGGUGGAGCAUGUGGUUUAAUUCGAUGAUACGCGAGGAACCUUACCUGGGCUCAAAUGUAUGUUGACGUAUUCUGAAAGGGAUACUUCUUCGGACAAUAUACAAGGUGCUGCAUGGUUGUCGUCAGCUCGUGCCGUGAGGUGUCGGGUUAAGUCCCAUAACGAGCGCAACCCCUAUCAUUAGUUGCCAUCAGGUCAAGCUGGGGACUCUAAUGAAACUGCCUACGCAAGUAGUGAGGAAGGUGGGGAUGACGUCAAAUCAGCACGGCCCUUACGUCCAGGGCUACACACGUGCUACAAUGGUCGGUACAAAGGGUUGCCAAGCCGCGAGGUGGAGCUAAUCCCAUAAAACCGAUCGUAGUCCGGAUCGCAGUCUGCAACUCGACUGCGUGAAGUCGGAAUCGCUAGUAAUCGUGAAUCAGAAUGUCACGGUGAAUACGUUCCCGGGCCUU